This is a long non-coding RNA of Amblyraja radiata (thorny skate), 475 nucleotides long. RefSeq lists it as uncharacterized. The transcript is spliced from 2 exons. Lineage: Eukaryota; Metazoa; Chordata; Chondrichthyes; Rajiformes; Rajidae. The record is from RefSeq and is a predicted model, not a curated record.
UAACACUGGGGAAGGGUGCAUAUUAUAAAUGCACAUUCAGACAUACACAAUCCUUUCAAAUUAGUUUCGCAGCUAACGGGGACGUGGGGGCGGGAAUGACAAGAGCGAAGAUACACAUGCUUGAAAAGCCACUCCAGAAGACCACUGCAUAAAUUCACUGACAGUGCGGACGAAAUGCACAAGAUGCGAACACAAUUAGCUGCAACGCGUGAAUCAAUGAACCCUAUCUGUGUGGGAAAGAACAACCAUGCAUCCCUCUCUCCGGAAAUCCCCAGCAUUUGACAUGUCACCAAGACGCAGAUACAGCGGCAGCGCAAUCCCAGAUUUCUUAACCGGUGUUAUCAAGAGAACAGUGAUCCGUUUUAAGCUCGUUAAUUAAAGUAUCGCUUCAUUUUAAGCCUCUGUCGGCUUUUGCUUGAACUGCUUAAGUUGCCGGUACAGGUAACAGUGUCAGUUAGAAAUCAGACGCUGAGAG